Molecule: long non-coding RNA, 1064 nt
Organism: Lontra canadensis (Northern American river otter)
Lineage: Eukaryota; Metazoa; Chordata; Mammalia; Carnivora; Mustelidae
Exons: 3
Source: RefSeq, a predicted model, not a curated record
UAUGGGAUGUUUUGCUGCAGCCUAGGGCAACUAGAAAUGGCCACGGAUGUUAACUAACUCCCUCCUCAACAGUCUGAGAAAAGGGAAAAAAAAACUGAAAAGCAAGCCAUGGCUCUAGAUAACAAUACUGACAUAAGUGAAGUACAGAGGACUGAGGAAGCAAAACCUGAGAAACAGAGUCUUCUGUUCUCUUCCAUGAAACUGUGGUGUGUUCUCUUCACUUUGGCCAAGUGCCCAGCUAAGAGAAUUCUCCCUCAAGAUGAGCAUGUUUCAGAGCGAACCCUUAACUGUUGGUUUCAAAAAGCCCAAACUUACAUUCUGUUUGGAGCUUUGGUGAAGUAGGUUGUACCCAUGAACCCUAGCAAAACAUGAAGAUUUCUCAUAAGAACACAAGAUAUGCUCUAGCAAUCAUCAAAUGGAACUUGAGUUUGUCUUUGUGUCAGACAAAGAAACAGCCCUUUCUGACUUAUGGAUAUGGCUGAAGGGGAAUACCUGAAAAGAGUGAUUUCUCUCCACAUCUGUCUUUAAGUCUUGAUAACAUUGUACCAUAUAAGGUCACUGACAAUGCAAAAUAUCACAAUACAGCACAGAACUAAUCAAAGCCUAAAAUUAUCCAAAUAAGCUAUUUAGAGAGAAUCCCAACAACUUCUUUGGAAUGUGAUAUUACCAAAAAUAUGAAUAAAGGGUAUUUUCUUAAGGAAAAAAAAGGGAUGUUCUCAUUAUUUGCAUGUAAUUUGCCACCUAGGAGUAGACUCUGGCUUCCCUUUCUGCUUAAAUUCUUCCACAGAGUCGGCUUGCCAGGUCUAUAACCAAGGUCUUUCUUUUAUCUAGACUAGAACAAAUAUUCCAUUUUGAGUCAUGAAAACAUAUCAGCAAAAUUCCCAGAGUUAAUACUUUUAUUUAAUUAUAUACAUAUAUUUAUUAUUUUUUUUAAAAGCUGUUCCACUAAGUUAAACUUUAACCAUAUUAAUCCAGGGGGAAAAAUCCCUGAUUGCCAACCAACAAUUUUGUAAACAGUUAUCUCAUGAGUUAAAUAUUAACUUGAAAAUUUUAACUCAAAACUC